RNAcentral lists this transfer RNA (84 nucleotides) under Mycoplasmataceae bacterium. RNAcentral's name for it is "tRNA-Leu". It matches the Rfam family "tRNA". Rfam says of the family: Transfer RNA (tRNA) molecules are approximately 80 nucleotides in length. Their secondary structure includes four short double-helical elements and three loops (D, anti-codon, and T loops). Further hydrogen bonds mediate the characteristic L-shaped molecular structure. tRNAs have two regions of fundamental functional importance: the anti-codon, which is responsible for specific mRNA codon recognition, and the 3' end, to which the tRNAs corresponding amino acid is attached (by aminoacyl-tRNA synthetases). tRNAs cope with the degeneracy of the genetic code in two manners: having more than one tRNA (with a specific anti-codon) for a particular amino acid; and 'wobble' base-pairing, i.e. permitting non-standard base-pairing at the 3rd anti-codon position. Lineage: Bacteria; Bacillati; Mycoplasmatota; Mollicutes; Mycoplasmatales; Mycoplasmataceae. The record is from RNAcentral.
GCACUCGUGGCGGAACGGCAGACGCGCUACCUUGAGGUGGUAGUACUUAAUAGUGUGUGAGUUCAAAUCUCGUCGAGUGCACCA